This is a non-coding RNA of Dichotomopilus funicola, 84 nucleotides long. Lineage: Eukaryota; Fungi; Ascomycota; Sordariomycetes; Sordariales; Chaetomiaceae. The record is from the annotation of a RefSeq genome assembly.
GCCCGCAUGGCUCAGUGGUAGAGCGUGUCACUAGUAAACCCCUGGUUUAUGACAAGGUCGCUAGUUCGAUUCUGGCUGUGGGCA